Molecule: ribosomal RNA, 513 nt
Filed under: Candida albicans
Lineage: Eukaryota; Fungi; Ascomycota; Pichiomycetes; Serinales; Debaryomycetaceae
Description: eukaryotic LSU rRNA
Rfam family: 5.8S ribosomal RNA (bases 146-299)
Source: RNAcentral
GGGAUACUGGAAUUGCUUAUUGCACCACAUGUGUUUUUCUUUGAAACAAACUUGCUUUGGCGGUGGGCCCAGCCUGCCGCCAGAGGUCUAAACUUACAACCAAUUUUUUAUCAACUUGUCACACCAGAUUAUUACUAAUAGUCAAAACUUUCAACAACGGAUCUCUUGGUUCUCGCAUCGAUGAAGAACGCAGCGAAAUGCGAUACGUAAUAUGAAUUGCAGAUAUUCGUGAAUCAUCGAAUCUUUGAACGCACAUUGCGCCCUCUGGUAUUCCGGAGGGCAUGCCUGUUUGAGCGUCGUUUCUCCCUCAAACCGCUGGGUUUGGUGUUGAGCAAUACGACUUGGGUUUGCUUGAAAGACGGUAGUGGUAAGGCGGGAUCGCUUUGACAAUGGCUUAGGUCUAACCAAAAACAUUGCUUGCGGCGGUAACGUCCACCACGUAUAUCUUCAAACUUUGACCUCAAAUCAGGUAGGACUACCCGCUGAACUUAAGCAUAUCAAAAGCCGGAGGAA